Molecule: unclassified non-coding RNA, 309 nt
Filed under: plant metagenome
Description: partial contains 5.8S ribosomal RNA, internal transcribed spacer 2, and large subunit ribosomal RNA
Rfam family: 5.8S ribosomal RNA (bases 1-105)
Source: RNAcentral
GAAAUGCGAUAAGUAAUGUGAAUUGCAGAAUUCAGUGAAUCAUCGAAUCUUUGAACGCACAUUGCGCCCGCCAGUAUUCUGGCGGGCAUGCCUGUUCGAGCGUCAUUUCAACCAUCAAGCCCCCGGGCUUGUGUUGGGGACCUGCGGCUGCCGCAGGCCCCGAAAACCAGUGGCGGGCUUGCUGUCACACCGGGCGUAGUAGAUUUUUCGUCUCGCCCAGGGCGUGCUGCGGGUUCCGGCCGUUAAAAAGCCUCUCUUUUAACCCAAGGUUGACCUCGGAUCAGGUAGGAAGACCCGCUGAACUUAAGC